RNAcentral lists this ribosomal RNA (96 nucleotides) under Bacillus toyonensis. The record is from RNAcentral. Lineage: Bacteria; Bacillati; Bacillota; Bacilli; Caryophanales; Bacillaceae. RNAcentral also lists the same sequence under 15 other names.
GUCACACCCGUUCCCAUACCGAACACGGAAGUUAAGCUCUCUAGCGCCGAUGGUAGUUGGGACCUUGUCCCUGUGAGAGUAGGACGUCGCCAAGCU